AUGUUGGACCUUGAAGUUAGGAUUAAUAUGACUCUAUCGUACCUUGCAUCGAAGCUUUUGGAGAUCAGAAGGUAGAUCUUUAGAUAGCCUCGAAUCUAGACCUCGUAGAAGUAGAACGCCUUCUCUCCUCAUCUACAUUAACAAACAAAAUUUUUGAAUAUCAUUAGUUAUUGUCGAUUUGUCAAGUAAGACAAGAUAUUCUACUAGCAACCGGCUAUACACUACAAAAGUUGAUGCUUUUUUGUUCAAUUCAAACAUAGGAAUCAUCACUUCUAAUAAGUACUAUAGAAUCUUGACCGAGUAACCAACCUAAUUAGUGACAUGAUCUAAGCUCCAUCGAUUUGUCACAUGAAACAUAAUUAAACAUAAAAGAACAAAACUUUGCAUACCCUUCUAAGAUA
This 401-nucleotide long non-coding RNA is filed under the name Helianthus annuus (common sunflower). RNAcentral describes it as "hypothetical non coding rna". The record is from RNAcentral. Lineage: Eukaryota; Viridiplantae; Streptophyta; Magnoliopsida; Asterales; Asteraceae.